Long non-coding RNA from Brassica oleracea var. oleracea, 476 nucleotides. RefSeq lists it as uncharacterized. NCBI's taxonomy places the organism in Eukaryota, Viridiplantae, Streptophyta, Magnoliopsida, Brassicales, Brassicaceae. The record is from RefSeq and is a predicted model, not a curated record. The transcript is spliced from 3 exons.
GCAAUACUGGCUAGAUCACAAGCAACUGUUAGAGGCCUUGCCAUGUUAUCUCAGUCUCUCAAAGAAACUGGGGGAGUUGAGGCUGUGAGUUUGAGAUUUGCAGAGCAAUACAUUCAAGCAUUCAGUAACAUUGCCAAGGAGGGUACGACAAUGUUGCUUCCAAGGUCCACAGAGAGAUGACCAAGAGACUUCAGGAGUGGAAGGUGACUGGGAAGACAUAGAUGAGAAAGAUAUAUCCGAAGGGUCUAAAAACCGAUCAGGCUCAACAAUAUUCGAAACAGAGAAACCAGGCCAGACCAGCGAACCAGUAUUUUCUCUUCAGAGUCGCAACAAGGAGCCAUAGUAGCCAACCAAACCGAGAAUCAGAUGAUUCUAUGUGCCUGAGAGAACAAAAAAUCCAUCUUUUCCAGUUUUCAGAAAAAAUGAGACACUAUCGUCUUCCCUGUUUUGAGCGGCAUGAAUAUCAUAUUCCAUUU